UGGGGAAUAUUGCGCAAUGGGCGAAAGCUUGACGCAGCGACGCCGCGUGAGGGAUGAAGGCCUUCGGAUCGUAAACCUCUGUCAGAAGGGAAGAAACCGCACUGUGCUAAUCAGCAGUGCCUUGACGGUACCUUCAAAGGAAGCACCGGCUAACUCCGUGCCAGCAGCCGCGGUAAUACGGAGGGUGCAAGCGUUAAUCGGAAUUACUGGGCGUAAAGCGCACGUAGGCUGCUUUGUAAGUCAGGGGUGAAAUCCCACGGCUCAACCGUGGAACUGCCUUUGAUACUGCUUAGCUUGAAUCCGGGAGAGGGUGGCGGAAUUCCAGGUGUAGGAGUGAAAUCCGUAGAUAACUGGGGGAACAUCAGUGGCGAAGGCGGCCACCUGGACCGGUAUUGACGCUGAGGUGCGAAAGCGUGGGGAGCAAACAGG
Molecule: ribosomal RNA, 429 nt
Filed under: Fusobacteriota bacterium
Lineage: Bacteria; Fusobacteriati; Fusobacteriota
Description: Fusobacteria bacterium partial 16S ribosomal RNA
Rfam family: Bacterial small subunit ribosomal RNA
Source: RNAcentral